GCUGUUUCAGUUUUUAGUGGGAGUUGCUUAAAAAUCCCAAUUUUUGCUCCGGAAGGGUGCUGCGUAUAAGCUUAACGGGGAGGUUAUUGGUGGGCUUUUAAUUCUUUUAUGUGCCAACUUAAUAAUCCCAAGAAGUCAAAUACGUUGUUGAACAAACAAACUGAGGAUCCUCCCGGAAAGAAUCGGUAUGGUUUCGUUUUCGAUUUUCCGGUGUGGAUGAAUGUGCGAGGUGAUUGUUUGGUGUUUGUGUGUAGCUUUGAUAUGCCUGCGCCGCCCGAGUUAAAUAAAGAUCUUCAGUUGCUCAAGAAAAGAGAAGGUCCGGGAGAUAGAAGCAAAAAACCAACCAGGAGGGGUGGAUUAAUGGAAGAUAAAGGGUAGAGAGUCUUGGAAAUGUGCCAAGCAAAGAAGCCACUGAUGCGUGGAUGUAGGCCCUGCUUACUCUUUCGCUAAUUAAGGUUUCUUUCCGCUGUGAGGAUGACUCAAACUAGAAUUUGUGGUGUCAAAGCAUGGGCAAAUCUCAAGACCCUCACAGUUGUAAUAGUCGCGGAUACUAGUAAUUUUGCAUCCUUCACAAAAAGACUGGAUUUUGAAUAUAUGAUUAGAUCUUCAUAUACUUGAAGUUUGUGUAUUUCUGUUUUUAUGCAGGUGAUCGUUUUUGAAUUAGAUGCUAAAAUGGGUGUCUUGCAUUUUUGUUGGUUUGUUUAUAAAUCUCAAGAUUGGUUGUGGGCAUUAAUAGGGAAAAACGUUUAACUGAACCGGAAGUGGGUCAUUUUAGAGCUCAGGGGGUUCCUAUGAAGAUUUUCUGGUGAAAAGGGAUGUGCUUCUUCCACUUGGUAUGUCUUUAGGUGUUCACCGUUUUGUUCCUGGACAGUAUGUUGAUGCGACGCAGCGACUGAAUCACCAGAGGAAAAGGUUUACAGGUGGCAUGAAAGAAGGGCUUUAGAGGAAUGCCUGCAUCUCAUGGUGUGUCAUUAUCACAUAGAAGUAUUGGUUCUAAUGGCCAGACGGAUGCUCCUGGCAAGCAUAUUCAUACUAAGAGCUGGAUCAUGGGGACUUCAUAUACCUGAGAAAUGAUAUUGACAGCCUUGAGCAUAGGUACAGUAAAGGCAAAAAGAUGCCUGGUCGCAUGGGUGGAAAGAAGCAAAAUGUUUAAAAUGUUUGGGUGUAUAGAACAGAACCAGCAAGAAACUUAAUCUAUGUGAGAGACCAAGGCUGGAUCCAUUCUUAUUUGGGCGGGUCAGCUAGCGGAACUAUUUGCAGCUUAGCAGCUUAUGUUCACACUGGGUAUUGCUUUUAAAGUUAAAGUGCGUAUAAUAAUCAGCACCGGAAUCUAAGUGGCAAAAAUCAAGAGCCUGGAGACUCCAGGUACCAGGUUCUACAUGAAACUGUGUAUAUCGAGGAUGCCGUGUACAAGAUAAGAGAUGCAUCUUUGUUCUCAUUCUCCACAUAUUUUGCUCCUGAAGACAGGGACUUAGAGCAAGUCCAAUAGGUUACCUAUACGAUGUCCUAAACUCACAUUUAGGUAAUGUGUCAAAAAAAUGCACUCCAGCACUAUCUUAGUGUUAUCCUAAAUCACUAGCACAACCUUAAUUCUCCUAGUCAUUACCUAUAUAUAAGUAACCCCUAACCAUUACCUAUUUAAUAUUUAUGAAUAAAAUAAUCAUCUCUCUCCUUCUUUCUUUGUCUAUUCUCUCCUUUUCCUCUUCUCUCUCACAAAUUCAUUAUUAAAAUAAUCUUAGGAGAACAAAUAUAGGGAUUACUAUUGGAGUUGAGACUAAAAAUAGAUUACCUAAAUCACUAAGACAUACUAGCACUCAUUAUUUUAUAUUAUUUAUAAGUAACAGGAUAGGUAACCUAUUGGAUUUGCUCUUAACCAUGCUAAAACCUCUGAUAGCUGAUCUUGGGGAUGUUGAUCCAUUUGUCGCAGCAGACUAGUUGACCUCGUAGGUCUGUCGUUGUUACGGUUUUUCUAUGGUGUGCCCAUGGGCACAUGCUAAGCGCGGAAAAUUUUAUGCUUAGAUCAUUUUGAUUGGCUCCUAUCUAUGGAUAAUGGUGGACCCCCUGCAAAUACACCAACCAAACCUAUCAAAAUCUCCCAAAUACAAAAAUUUCCGCGCUUAAUAUGUGCUCAUGGGCACACACUAGACAAACCGAAAUUGUUAUGCCAGUGAUAAAGUUACAGUACCUUUAGCCCAAAAAAGAGGGAACAUCUCCACCCUGAUAUUGUGCAAGGGGUAGUAAUAGAGUUGAUCAUCACUAUUAUAACUAGAUGAUUGGCUUACUUUUGUUAUUUUGUCAUUUAUUCCAUAGGUCAAACUGGCCUGCAUUGUUGUUGGAGCUAGUGUUUGAAAGUGUCUGGGGUACAGAAUUGUGUGUACAUAUGACUUUUUAACUCAUAUAUCUAAAUCUCUUGAUAGUAU
This is a long non-coding RNA of Daucus carota subsp. sativus, 2420 nucleotides long. RefSeq lists it as uncharacterized. Lineage: Eukaryota; Viridiplantae; Streptophyta; Magnoliopsida; Apiales; Apiaceae. The record is from RefSeq and is a predicted model, not a curated record. The transcript has 9 exons.